UACGGAGGGGGCUAGCGUUGUUCGGAAUUACUGGGCGUAAAGCGCACGUAGGCGGCUUUGCAAGUCAGAGGUGAAAGCCCGGAGCUCAACUCCGGGUCUGCCGCGGAUACUGCGAGGCUUGAGUGCUGUAGAGGGGGGUAGAAUGCCGGGUGUAGCGGUGGAAUGCGUAGAGAUCCGGCAGAAGACCGGUGGCGAAGGCGGCCCCCUGGGCAGUAACUGACACUGAGGCGCGACAGCGUGGGGAGCAAACAGG
RNAcentral lists this ribosomal RNA (253 nucleotides) under uncultured bacterium. RNAcentral describes it as "partial 16S ribosomal RNA". It matches the Rfam family "Bacterial small subunit ribosomal RNA", at positions 524 to 776 of the family's 1533-position model. The record is from RNAcentral.